GAACAACUCUGUGCGGUGGAUCACUCGGCUCGUGUGUCGAUGAAGAGCGCAGCCAACUGUGUGAAUUAAUGUGAAAUGUAGCCUGCUCAGAACAUCGACAUCUUGAACGCAUAUUGCGGCCGUAGGUCUUCCUAUGGCCACGCCUGUCCGAGGGUCG
Molecule: ribosomal RNA, 157 nt
Filed under: Aponurus laguncula
Lineage: Eukaryota; Metazoa; Platyhelminthes; Trematoda; Azygiida; Hemiuridae
Description: 5.8S ribosomal RNA
Rfam family: 5.8S ribosomal RNA
About the family: 5.8S ribosomal RNA (5.8S rRNA) is a component of the large subunit of the eukaryotic ribosome. It is transcribed by RNA polymerase I as part of the 45S precursor that also contains 18S and 28S rRNA.
Source: RNAcentral